UACGGAAGGUCCGGGCGUUAUCCGGAUUUAUUGGGUUUAAAGGGAGCGUAGGCCGGGGAUUAAGCGUGUUGUGAAAUGUAGACGCUCAACGUCUGAAUUGCAGCGCGAACUGGUUCUCUUGAGUGCGCGGGAAGUUGGCGGAAUUCGUUGUGUAGCGGUGAAAUGCUUAGAUAUGACGAAGAACUCCGAUUGCGAAGGCAGCUGACUGUAGCGUAACUGACGCUGAAGCUCGAAAGUGUGGGUAU
RNAcentral lists this ribosomal RNA (245 nucleotides) under uncultured Prevotella sp. Its description in RNAcentral is "partial 16S ribosomal RNA". It matches the Rfam family "Bacterial small subunit ribosomal RNA", at positions 524 to 768 of the family's 1533-position model. The record is from RNAcentral. Lineage: Bacteria; Pseudomonadati; Bacteroidota; Bacteroidia; Bacteroidales; Prevotellaceae.